AUUGAACGCUGGCGGCAGGCCUAACACAUGCGAGUCGAGCGGAUGAAGGGAGCUUGCUCCUGGAUUCAGCGGCGGACGGGUGAGUAAUGCCUAGGAAUCUGCCUGGUAGUGGGGGAUAACGUCCGGAAACGGGCGCUAAUACCGCAUACGUCCUGAGGGAGAAAGUGGGGGAUCUUCGGACCUCACGCUAUCAGAUGAGCCUAGGUCGGAUUAGCUAGUUGGUGGGGUAAAGGCCUACCAAGGCGACGAUCCGUAACUGGUCUGAGAGGAUGAUCAGUCACACUGGAACUGAGACACGGUCCAGACUCCUACGGGAGGCAGCAGUGAGGAAUAUUGGACAAUGGGCGAAAGCCUGAUCCAGCCAUGCCGCGUGUGUGAAGAAGGUCUUCGGAUUGUAAAGCACUUUAAGUUGGGAGGAAGGGCAGUAAGUUAAUACCUUGCUGUUUUGACGUUACCAACAGAAUAAGCACCGGCUAACUUCGUG
Molecule: ribosomal RNA, 484 nt
Filed under: uncultured bacterium
Lineage: Bacteria
Description: partial 16S ribosomal RNA
Rfam family: Bacterial small subunit ribosomal RNA
Source: RNAcentral